UAAAAAUCACUCAUUUCUUUCUUUGAUUUAUCUCUGCUCUGCAAUACCAAAAGCUCCUGUCCUCAGUUCCCUCUCUCUUUCUCUCUCUGGGGUUAGGGUUUUGUUGACGUAGUAGAUGGGGCAGCAAUCGUUGAUCUACAGCUUCGUGGCGAGAGGGACGGUGAUUUUGGCAGAGUUUACGGAGUUCACCGGCAACUUUACAAGCAUAGCAGCUCAGUGCCUCCAGAAACUUCCGGCCACCAACAACAAGUUCACCUACAACUGCGAUGGCCACACCUUCAACUACCUUGUCGAUAACGGCUACAGUAUCCCCUCUAACCUUCCUCUCCUUUUCUUUUUCCCUGUUUGAUUCGCCUCUUUAGUUCCUUCUAUGAUCUGAUCUGUUUCUUCUCUAUCAUUCACUGGGUUUGUGAUCUCUUUUAUAUGAUUUGAUCUGCGUGCUUUUUUGCGUGUUCUCGCGGGUUAGUGUGUUGUUGGGAUAUGUUUUAGGCUGUGAUUGUUAUAGCAUAUUUGAUAAGCUGAUAACAGUGUGCUGUCCGUUGAUCUUAUUAUUAUCCCUCUGAUUCUAAUGAAGGGCGUACAAAUGAACACUCGCAUUUGAUUAAUGCUUUAGUUGCUGAAUUAGAUCGAUAUAGGGUACUAGAAUCAUUGUGUUGAUGCGAUGAAAUUCAGUGCUUCGCGUCUGUCUUUGUGAAGAUAAUGGGCUUCGAGCUCAAAUUACUGGUUUGCUGUUUGUGUUGGAAGAAAAGUAUAACUCAUUUUUUUUAUGACAUCCAUGUUAUACGAUUUUGAAUUGUUUUCACAUGUAGAAAACUUAGAGAGAAUCUGUAGCCACUUACUUUCUUUAGUUGAGACUGAUUGCUGGCCUUAGUUAUUUGUUUGGUUGGUUGCUGGGAACUUAGAAGAACAAAAGGAAAUAUUCAAACCAUGAGAAUUUAAUUAGGGAAAAGUAUUGUAGAUGUGGAACUAGAUUUGGAUGGUUAGUACUUUCCAGCAUUUUUUGGUUUUGCUUAAUUAGUUUUGAAUGAAAGCAAUGAUCGCAAUGUUAUCUGCUGACUAUUAUUCAAGUUUUCCCUUUAUAGGCUUUAAUCAAUGCACUUAAAUAAUUGUAAUUCAGGUUUCUGAAGCGUUUUCUAAAUGAGUGCAUUGAAAAUGGGAAAAGUUUUCUUGAUAGGCCAAAUCUUAAUCUGAAUUUCAUGACCAAUUAAGGAGAAUGAGGAUUUGCAUGAGAUAGCCAAAGUAGGCAUUGUCGCUAAAAUAUGGUAUGUGGG
RNAcentral lists this unclassified non-coding RNA (1271 nucleotides) under Hevea brasiliensis (rubber tree). The record is from RNAcentral. Lineage: Eukaryota; Viridiplantae; Streptophyta; Magnoliopsida; Malpighiales; Euphorbiaceae.